GAUGAAGAACGCAGCGAAGUGCGAUAAGUAAUGUGAAUUGCAGAAUUCCGUGAAUCAUCGAAUCUUUGAACGCAUAUUGCACUUUCUGGUAUUCCGGAAAGUAUGCCUGUUUGAGGGUCAGUUAAAUAAAAAUCGGUGUUGUUGCUACCCCGUAGUGGCGUUAAUGCAUCGGAAUUGAGUUGUCUUUACCUUUUUUUGGUUAAGUGACUUAAAAUUAUGUACGAUUUUUUGAACGUAUUUAAUUAUUUACGUAUGUUCAUAAUAUCAAAUAUUAGGCGCGGUCAUACUCAUGAUUUUCGCGUCUAUAAUUCUUUCAUUAUUUGACCUCAAAUCAGGUAAGAAUACCCGCUGAACUUAAGCAUAUCAAUAAGCGGAGGA
Molecule: unclassified non-coding RNA, 378 nt
Filed under: soil metagenome
Description: partial contains 5.8S ribosomal RNA, internal transcribed spacer 2, and large subunit ribosomal RNA
Rfam family: 5.8S ribosomal RNA (bases 1-120)
Source: RNAcentral